UGCAUAAAGCAAACAGAAGAGAAGGAUAUUGCAAAAUCUCUAAUGUCAUGAAUGAGCUUGAGAAGUCUCCAAGGGAUGCUGAUUCUUCUAUUAAUAGCGUCAAUAACCAGCUUUGAGUCACAUUCCACUUGAAUAUUCUGGUAGCCUUGGUCCUUUAUUUUUUACUAAUUAAGCUGUCUCUUAAAGCUACAACUCCUGCAACUGGAAUAGUUGUCUUCUCUAAUCUUGAUUACAAAGAAGUUGCAUAUAUUUUGAUUAAUACAAGAUCUCAAUACCACACGCGUGUUAGCAGAUUUUACAUUUUUAUAGCGUCGGCCGGAUUGUAGUAAAUGGAUUGUAGUCUGUAGAUAGAAACAGAAAAGUGAGAAAGUACAUUGUAUUGAUCUACAUGUUGCCGUAUACAAAAAAUUUCAUUUAUUUCCCGAUCUAAUCUAUACAACAACAGACAAUGAUAACUACAUAUACCGGUAAAUAGAACUUUACUGGUAGGGGAACAUAAAAAAAUGAUAAGUUACAACCUUAGUUUUCUAACAACCACCACCACCUCCUCCACAACCACCACCACCACCACCACCUCCACCUCCUCCACAACCACCACCGCCACCAACAUCACCACCACCUCCUCCACAACCACCACCGCCACCACCAUCACCACCACCACCACAACCGCCUCCUCCACCACCGCCACCCCUCCUUUUCUUGCUUGAUGAUCCACAAGCAAAUAUGACCAUCGAUAUGAGUGAGAGAGACAUAAGAACCAUGCCAACCAAAAGCAGGCCGCCAGAGUUGUCUGCCAAAAUACUGAGACCUACUCCCACUCCAUGACCACCACCACCAACAACAAAAUAAUUUCUAGCCAUUUUUUGGGUCUCGUUGCGUAACAAUACUUGCCGUAUGAACAAAUACUGUGUAGAAUUAAAAGCGAAGAACAGCUAUAUAUAUAGGAAUUCCAAGCAUACGUAUCACAUGCACCUAUGAGGUGUUGAAGUUUCAAAGCCAUAUUCUUCAAGUAUUUGAAUUGGCAGCUACAGAUUGAAAGGUUGAAGCUUAGACAAGUCUUACAAUUAAGGUGAUCCACAUAUAAGAACAUAUAUAUAUAUAUAUAUAUAUAUAUAUAUAUAUAUAAUGCAAAAUGUACACAUCACAUUUGCUGACAUUC
RNAcentral lists this long non-coding RNA (1159 nucleotides) under Fragaria vesca (wild strawberry). RNAcentral describes it as "long non-coding RNA (FVES_LNC003276)". Lineage: Eukaryota; Viridiplantae; Streptophyta; Magnoliopsida; Rosales; Rosaceae. The record is from RNAcentral.